GAUGAACGCUAGCUACAGGCUUAACACAUGCAAGUCGAGGGACCGGCGCACGGGUGAGUAACGCGUAUCCCCCCUGCCCAUAAGUAGGGUAUAACCCGCAGAAAUGCGGACUAAUCCCCUCUGCUUAUGGAUGGGGAUGCGUCCGAUUAGCUUGUUGUUGCGGUAACGGCUCACCAAGGCUUCGAUCGGUAGGGGUUCUGCGAGGAAGGCCCCCCACAUAGGAACUGAGACACGGUCCUAACGCCUACGGGAGGCAGCAGGGAGGGAGAUUGGUGAAGGGGCGAGGGCCUGAACCAGCCAAGUAGCGUGCAGGAUGACGGCCUAUGGGUGGUAAACUGCUGUUGUGAGGGGAUAGGUACCGGAAGAAUAAGGACCGGCUAAUUACGUGCCAGCAGCCGCGGUAAUUC
This 407-nucleotide ribosomal RNA is filed under the name uncultured bacterium. RNAcentral describes it as "partial 16S ribosomal RNA". It matches the Rfam family "Bacterial small subunit ribosomal RNA", at positions 28 to 526 of the family's 1533-position model. The record is from RNAcentral.